GAGUUUGAUCCUGGCUCAGAACGAACGCUGGCGGCAGGCCUCAAACAUGCAAGUCUAGGGGGCGUAGCAAUACGUCACCGGCGGACGGGUGCGUAACACGUGGGGAAUGUACUUACUGGUUCGGAACAACUCAGGGAAACUUGAGCUAAUACCGAAUGUGCCCGAAAGGGGAAAGAUUUAUCGCCAGUAAAUCAGCCCGCGUCCGAUUAGCUAGUUGGUGGGGUAAAGGCCCACCAAGGCGACGAUCGGUAGCUGUUCUGAGAGGAAGAUCAGCCACACUGGGACUGAGACACGGCCCAGACUCCUACGGGAGGCAGCAGUUGGGAAUCUUGGACAAUGGGGGAAACCCUGAUCCAGCCAUGCCGCGUGAGUGAUGAAGGCCUUCGGGUUGUAAACUACUUUCGUACGGGGACGAGUAAUGACGGUACCCGUACGAAGAAGACUCCGGCUAACUUCGUGCCAGCAGCCGCAGU
This 473-nucleotide ribosomal RNA is filed under the name uncultured bacterium. Its description in RNAcentral is "bacterial SSU rRNA". It matches the Rfam family "Bacterial small subunit ribosomal RNA", at positions 9 to 521 of the family's 1533-position model. The record is from RNAcentral.